CAGAGCAGAAGAGAGGCUUUAAAAAAAUAAAACUGAAAUUUAUAGGUGCAGCAAACAAUCAGUAAAUGAACUGUGUUAGAUAAAGCUGAGAAAAUACCGAACUGCUAGUCAUGCAUUGCAGGCAAUAAAUACUGCAGGAAAAGAGAUGAGGGACACCACGGGGAUGUCUUCAAGGAAAGGCCACAUUUGCAGUCAGGGAUGGCCUGGCACGAAGCGUUAAAACAUGGAGAAAGGCCUAAAAAAUUUGAGCGCCCGAGCGCUGUGGUCUGUGUGAGGCCUGCCUGCCUCUGCCAGAGGGACUGAAGGGACUAACGGCUGCUUUUGGGCACACGUCCCUCAGCGCAACCCCUACACGCGGAAGAGCCACCUGAAACCCCUUCAUCCACCCGUUUGGCUUUACAUCAGACCGAACGAGCAGCCAGGACCCCAAGGAGGCGUUAAGAAGUGAUACUGUUGAUGGCCAAGGUUACUUCAGAAGCUGUCUGUACCCUUUUUCUCCUUCCUGUCUUUGCAGAAGUUCCCUGGACUCUCUGAAAGGAAAGCAUCGGGCUGCUUGCGUCAGACAAGCUGCCAGAGGUUGGCUGAAGUGUUUGCACCAAGAGCGCAUCUUUAUACACCCACCAUCCUGCUGAGCUCAUGCCCUAUGCAGGAUAGCACAAAGCUCUCCAGGCUGAAACCGAGGAGCGGUCAGACAAAAAAAUACACAAAUUAACACUGCACCUUUACUUUGGUUCAGUAUGUACAGGAUUUGGGGAUUCUAGCCUGUGCUUAUCACUUAAUCAAGCACUAGUCACGUAGUUAAUUACGUUCGCCUCUCCCCUUCAGCACCUACUGAUACGCAGCAAAGGCAACUGUGGUUCAGAGCAGGAAUCUGAGCACAGCAACUAGCACAUCCUUCAUCACUGAGCCAGGCAAGUGGAGCUGGCAGCUGGAGAACCGGGAGGGUGCUUUCCCCUGCAGCAACCUCUGCUGUAAACAGCUCUCCCAUGAGAGAGCUGGCUUUUUUUUUUUUUUUUCUCCCCUGUGGGAGUACAGCAAAACAUAGUUAGAGCUUAGACAACAUCUAAGUACAGAAUGGACAUCGGCAAUUUAUACCUUUGCUGUUAGUCCCAGUUGUCUUAGUAGGAAACAAUUAGGCACAUUGCUACUUAUAACACAAUCAGCCCAGAGUAGGCUUAGGAAAUAGAGCUGGCCAAAGCAGAAACAUUUCCAAAACCUCCCAUGAGAAAUACUCUAGAUUUUUUUUUUCUAAACACCUAGGGGAGAUGGGUGAAAGAGAAGAAUUCCACAGGGAAAAGCCCAAAUUGGUAUAGCUUAGAAAAAUUCACACUUUAAUUUUUUAAUUUGCAUAAAUUCUUGUUUGAAAAAAUAAAAAUAAAAUCCACGGUAGUAUUCCUAGGAAGCUGAAGUUCUUGGCCCUUCAGUCAGCCCUUGCCCCUAAGUCCUUCAAUCCUCUGGACAAGAAACAUUUUUCCAAAAAAAGCCUAAGCCAUGGCUGUUGGUGUAAUAUGAGAACAACUGGGCAGCAGGCUUUCCACCCACCCUUUCCCCUUGCAGUGGUUUAUCUGUGCAGCCUCACAUGCUCCUACGCAGGACUGCUGUUCUCCACUCACAACCUGUGUCUUCAAUUAACAGCACCUUAAAAGGGCCUGGUUUGCCCAUUUCCCUCUCAGCAUCUCAGCCCCACCAGCACAUACAAUUCAUCUGGCUCUGAGCAUGAGUGUUAAUAGUCAAACCUGAGGUGCAAACAAGGUACAGCAUUUAGCUGGGGAAGGUUUAAGAUUCUAGCUAUGCUUCCAGGCUGAUGUCCCAAGGCACACAGCCUGGAUGCCAAAUAUGCGCUGUGCUUUGCCAGUUUGUUUCCACUAUGGCUUUUCUUACUGUUGAACACUAUCCUGAGUCUGACAGUGACUCACAUCAGCUUAAUCUUAGCUCUGAAGAGGUAAGAAUAAUUUCAUACCCAUCUGGAACAACAACACAGCACCACAAUCCAAAUGUUAUAAGGCAUGAAGCAAAGAGCAUCAUAUUCAUGGGAAACCACCGAGAAGGUCAGCUAAGGACUGCAUUCCCUAAAGCAGCCCGAAUUCUGCUUUGACACAAGAGAGAGAAAACCCUGCUCCCUUGGAAGACACGUCAGAAAUCUGUACGCGAUGGAAAGAAACAAGAUCUGACAACACAUCAUUAAAAA
This is a long non-coding RNA of Anas platyrhynchos (mallard), 2188 nucleotides long. RefSeq lists it as uncharacterized. Lineage: Eukaryota; Metazoa; Chordata; Aves; Anseriformes; Anatidae. The record is from RefSeq and is a predicted model, not a curated record.